Amblyraja radiata (thorny skate) is the source of this 230-nucleotide long non-coding RNA. RefSeq lists it as uncharacterized. The transcript is spliced from 3 exons. The record is from RefSeq and is a predicted model, not a curated record. Lineage: Eukaryota; Metazoa; Chordata; Chondrichthyes; Rajiformes; Rajidae.
UUCACCCAGAGAAGAGAGAGGCCCAGGGGCGGUUGCAGUGGGAGGAGCGGCGUCCGGGCAGUGAGUAGUAAAACAGAGCGCGGGGCUUUGCUUUACAGAGGCCCAGGAGCUGUAACAGUGGGAGGAACCCAAAUCUGCAACGUUCCAUUCACAUUUCAUAUAAGUGAGGACGCCGCUGAAUUGUGGAAGCGGACGAGAGGCAGCAGCUGAUUGGGAGUCAGAUCCCUGCU